AGUGUAAGCAUGGCAACAUGUUGAGCGGACUGAUACUAAUAGGUCGAGGGCUUGACCAG
This 59-nucleotide ribosomal RNA is filed under the name Lachnospiraceae bacterium. RNAcentral's name for it is "partial 23S ribosomal RNA". The record is from RNAcentral. Lineage: Bacteria; Bacillati; Bacillota; Clostridia; Lachnospirales; Lachnospiraceae.